UACGGAGGGAGCUAGCGUUGUUCGGAAUUACUGGGCGUAAAGCGCGCGUAGGCGGCUUUGUAAGUUAGAGGUGAAAGCCCGGGGCUCAACUCCGGAACUGCCUUUAAGACUGCAUCGCUUGAAUCCGGGAGAGGUGAGUGGAAUUCCGAGUGUAGAGGUGAAAUUCGUAGAUAUUCGGCGGAACACCAGUGGCGAAGGCGACUCACUGGCCCGAUACUGACGCUGAGGCGCGAAGCGUGGGAGCAAACAGG
Molecule: ribosomal RNA, 251 nt
Filed under: uncultured bacterium
Lineage: Bacteria
Description: partial 16S ribosomal RNA
Rfam family: Bacterial small subunit ribosomal RNA
Source: RNAcentral